UUCCACUGGAUAAGUUGGUGCACUUACACUG
This 31-nucleotide non-coding RNA is filed under the name Rattus norvegicus (Norway rat). The record is from RNAcentral. Lineage: Eukaryota; Metazoa; Chordata; Mammalia; Rodentia; Muridae.